GUGUCUUCAGCAGUUGCUUCAGAGAAUAAGAGCCAGUUGUGGUCAGUGUGUGAUAUAUUUGUGUAUGUUUGUGAGUGUGUGUGUGUGUGUGUGUGUAAUAUAAUGAGAACAGUUGCUCAGAGUUCAGUUGGGUCUGGGCAGUACAGAAUGAUGCAGUCCGGCUCUGUGCUGCUGUGUGCUGUGUUUAUAACCUGCUUCUGUUACUGCGACUCCAGUUUAGACGUUUCUGUGACCCAGACUCCAGUUGAACUCACAGUGGAGGAAGGACAGAGUGUGGAUAUCUCCUGUUGCUGGAAUAAAAUCAUCCCUAAUAUUAAAGUGAGGUGGAUUAAACCCAAAGAGACUAAUAAAGACGUUCCUACAGAAAUCCUUAAUACUAACUGCUCAGUUUUCUCUAUAAGAAACGCCUGCAGUAAUGAUACAGGACUGUACAUCUGUGAAGUUCUACAAGACAUUCCUGUACUGGUUACUGUAAAAGGAAAAGGGACGACUGUGAGACUCCUGGAAAAAAAGACAAUGCAAAUGUCACGGAAUGACCCAGGCAGGGUGACGAGGAAAGCGGACACAAGUG
Molecule: long non-coding RNA, 571 nt
Filed under: Astyanax mexicanus (Mexican tetra)
Lineage: Eukaryota; Metazoa; Chordata; Actinopteri; Characiformes; Acestrorhamphidae
Description: lncRNA (ENSAMXG00005006346.1)
Source: RNAcentral